CAGGAUGAACGCUGGCGGCGUGCCUAAUACGUGCAAGUCGAGCGAACAGACGAGGAGCUUGCUCCUCUGACGUUAGCGGCGGACGGGUGAGUAACACGUGGAUAACCUACCUAUAAGACUGGGAUAACUUCGGGAAACCGGAGCUAAUACCGGAUAAUAUAUUGAACCGCAUGGUUCAAUAGUGAAAGACGGUUUUGCUGUCACUUAUAGAUGGAUCCGCGCCGCAUUAGCUAGUUGGUAAGGUAACGGCUUACCGAGGCAACGAUGCGUAGCCGACCUGAGAGGGUGAUCGGCCACACUGGAACUGAGACACGGUCCAGACUCCUACGGGAGGCAGCAGUAGGGAAUCUUCCGCAAUGGGCGAAAGCCUGACGGAGCAACGCCGCGUGAGUGAUGAAGGUCUUCGGAUCGUAAAACUCUGUUAUUAGGGAAGAACAAAUGUGUAA
RNAcentral lists this ribosomal RNA (446 nucleotides) under uncultured Staphylococcus sp. RNAcentral describes it as "bacterial SSU rRNA". It matches the Rfam family "Bacterial small subunit ribosomal RNA", at positions 25 to 460 of the family's 1533-position model. The record is from RNAcentral. Lineage: Bacteria; Bacillati; Bacillota; Bacilli; Caryophanales; Staphylococcaceae.